Molecule: unclassified non-coding RNA, 380 nt
Filed under: soil metagenome
Description: partial contains 5.8S ribosomal RNA, internal transcribed spacer 2, and large subunit ribosomal RNA
Rfam family: 5.8S ribosomal RNA (bases 1-120)
Source: RNAcentral
GAUGAAGAACGCAGCGAAAUGCGAUAAGUAAUGUGAAUUGCAGAAUUCAGUGAAUCAUCGAAUCUUUGAACGCACCUUGCACCCUUUGGUAUUCCGAAGGGUAUGCUCGUUUGAGUGUCAUUGUACUCUCACACUUCCGAUCGUUUGGAUCGGGAGCGGUGGACUUGGGUGUUGCUGCUUUACUGUGGCUCACCUUAAAUGCAUUAGUGCACCUUUCGGUUGGACAUAGUACGGCGUGAUAAGUGUCUUCGCCGGCACCUCACAGAGGGUGGCCGAUCGGGAGCUCUGUGCUUCAAACCGUCUUCGGACAAUCUUUGACAACUUGACCUCAAAUCGAGUAGGACUACCCGCUGAACUUAAGCAUAUCAAUAAGCGGAGGA